UCGAGUCAUUCUGCAGAAAUCUACCUUCGGCGACACAUGGCCCAGAGCCCUGGGGAAGAAGCGAGCAAGGCUGUCCCAUUUCUCUCCUGCCACCACUGUAGGUAAUCGGAUAGUCUCAACAAAACCUAAAAGUCUUCAUUUGGAGCUCUACAGUGAACUCUGGAGAAGUGAAACCAUCUGUCAUAGUGAAAUGAAAUGGAAACUUCCUUGACAGAAAGCACAGAUGGUACACACCGGCCAAAAGACAAACCUGAAACAUCUUAUUCCAAUGAAGAAGUUGCUAUCGUAUCCUGAUGUGAAUGAAGUGACAGUUUUCAGCUUCCUGAAUCUAACGAUGGUUUUCUCUUUUCUUUGUAAUUCCCAGUGCUGUUGGAAGAACAGAGUUCCUGAAGGAUCGGAGGUGAUUCUACUGGCCUUACUGGUGAGGACUCAGAUGUUUAAUACUGGACUCUCUAUAUUUGUUGCGCCCACAAUGGACAAAUUGGCACAGGAUUUUCUGAGUGUUGCUGCAUUAAAAGCAAUAGGACAAAUCUAUUCACUGGCAAAGGAUCAGGCAAACUACUUCAGAAAGAACAAGAGGGGUAUCAAAUUUAUGGCUAAGAUUUCCACGUGAAGCACUGGAGUUUAAGAAGGGAGGCUUAACGAUGCUGACUCAAAGGGCUGCUUGAUCUGCCCUACUUGCUGUGACUGGCAAAAAACCACAGCAGAACCCACAGCACGGACACUUCAACCGGAGCUGGACCUUGAGUCAGGUACUUCUGUGCUUCUCUCCCUUACAUGGGCAAGCUGUUGUUCAUUUUCCCCAUUGUACAAUUGUUGUAACUUCCUGGACUCUGAAAGUUCUUCUUGAGGAAGUCCAGAGAAGCACUAUAGUUUGUUAUUAGCGGACAUAUCUGGGGAACAUUUUAAACUAUACAGAAUUAUCCAGGGCAAAAGCGUAGUUUGUAUCUGCAGGUUCAUGAAGGAUAGGCUUGGCAUAUGGAUUUGUCUCCUCUGUAUCCUGUGAUACAAUGUGCUUUUGCUGCAGAUUUU
RNAcentral lists this long non-coding RNA (1032 nucleotides) under Coturnix japonica (Japanese quail). RNAcentral's name for it is "lncRNA (ENSCJPG00005014405.1)". The record is from RNAcentral. Lineage: Eukaryota; Metazoa; Chordata; Aves; Galliformes; Phasianidae.